GACCAACUAGUUUAUUAAAUGAUAAACCUAAAUGAGAAAGCUGAGAUAGAUGAAAAAAUGAUGAUGGAACCUCGCCUGUUAGGUUGUUACUGGAAAGGUCCAAAUAUGUUAGUUGGGUGAGGUUCCACAAAGAUAGAGGAAUCGUCCCAUCCAAAUUGCACCAUGAAAGGACUAAAUGAGUAAGAGACUUCAAUUGAUCAAUGGAAUAAGGAAUUUCACCUGAGAAAGAAGUGGAAGAGAGGUCCAAGUACCUUAGAGGCAUGCUCCAGUUGGACUUUGGAAGUUGACCAAUAAGGUGAUUAUCUGACAAAUCUAGUUUUUGAAGGUUGGGUAAAGAGAGGACGUCACUUGACAAAUUUCCUUGCAAUUCAGUGGAUCCUAGACUAAGAGAAACCAAAGAGGAUGACAAAUUCUUUAGCAUAGACAAAGAGCUCUCUUUGAUUGAGGACAUAUUCACAGUAUCAAGAUAAAGCUCCCUUAAAUUAGUAGCAUUAUGAAUGAGUUUCUUCCAUGUCAAUGGAUUGAGUUUCAAUCCCCUGCGGUACUCCAUGUCACUUCUAAGAUCAAGUGAUAUUAAUUUUGACAAAUGAGAGAUUGUGGAGGGAAUAUUACCACUGAGGUAUGAGUUUGACACAUUUAGAUGUGUGAGAUUCACUAAAUCACCAAUACCAACAUGCAAUGAAGAAGGGAAAAAAUCAUUAAAAGCCAAGUUGAGUUGUUGAAGAUGUUUAAGCUGGAAGAUAGUGCUAUUGGGAUGUANNNNNNNNNNNNNNNNNNNNNNNNNNNNNNNNNNNAGAAGUGAAUGGUAAAAGAAGGCAAUAGAAUAAAAAAGGAGGCCAUUUAGAGCAACUUGAUAUUAUUUCUUUUUUACCUGAUGAUGAUUUUGGAUAUACCAAUUGAUUACCCUCAAUUUAUUUAUAUAUAAGAAGCUUAACAUUGAUAUAAUUGAGUCUCGGCGUGCUUUUGUUUUGUAGCAAGGGAUGCUUUUCAUCGACCGUAUGGAGCACUUCAAUAGAAGGAGUUUUUGUGGUUGCAAUUAUACUUAUAGUGAUAGGAUAAUUGACAAUAACAUUAAUUCAUUAGUAUCCGUAGAAAUAUAUGGUGUAUUUUUAAGAUAAGUAAGACCAAGAUUUUUGAACCGUAUAUAAUACUCAAUUUGAAAUGUUUUUGAAUGUUCUAACUUUUUUUUAAUAAAUUUUAAAAGUUAAAUCAAAAGAAUACGGCUUUCAUAUUUUUUUUAAAAAAAUAAAACUUGGGGUACCUUAAAGGUUAGCGAUUACUUGUAUCUAAAUUUUAAUAUUUAUUUCUUUUAAGUAGUUUAGUGGUUAAAAAUUUCACUCUUAAAAUGAAUAAGUAAAAAGUAUAAAAUCCGAACGACUUCUACAUAUAUAAUAAAAUGUCUCUAUCAAUUGAGUUAAACUCAGAAUAACUUAUUUAUAUCCUUAAUAUGUGUCUUAAGAAAACUCUUGUUGCUAUAUUAUAAAUUCUUGUUUAGAAAAAUUACUUCAAAAAAUAUUUAAUAUACACAUCCACUUUNNNNNNNNNNNNNNNNNNNNNNNNNNNNNNNNNNNNNNNNNNNNNNNNNNNNNNNNNNNNNNNUAUUUUAAGACGAAUUCCUUACUCAUCUAAACUAGAAUCCGCGCCACUUAAGACGAAUUAAUUCUAAUUCGACUAUUUUAGUUUAACUAAUAUUCCUCUAGCUCAUUUUUUGCUCAUCUAAACUAUAUAACUUGCGCCACUUAAGACGAAUUAACUAUAAUUCGACUAUUUUAGUUCAACUAAAAUUUGUCGAACUCAUUCCUUCCUCAUCUAAACUGGAACUCGUGCCACUUAAGAUGAAUUAACUCUAAUUAGACUAUUUUAGUUUAACUAAUAUUCCUCUAACCCACUCCUUGCUCAUCUAAACUAUAUAACUCGUGUCACUUAAGAUGAAUUAACUAUAAUUCGACUAUUUUAGUUCAAAAAUUAUUCAUCAAACUCAUUCCUUGCUCGUCUAAAAUCGAACUCGCACCACUUAAGACGAAUUAACUCUAAUUCGACUAUUUUAGUUCAACUAAUAUUCGUCGAACUCAUUCCAUGGUCGUCUAAAAUCGAACUCGCCUCACAUAAGACGUCUUAACCCUAAUUCAACUAUUUGUGUGCUUACUAACAUUCUUCCUUAGGAAUGGCCAAAGAAAUGUUUUACCAAUUGACAAUAACAUUAAUCCAUUAGCAUCCAUAGAAAUGUUUUACCAAUUGGUGUAUUUUUAAGAUAAGUAAGACUAAGAUUUUUCAACGGUGUAUGUAAUACUCAAGUUGAAAUUUUGAAUGAUCUAACUUUAUUUGCAUGUGUUUAUGACAACAUAUUGUGUCCAAAAGUAGAGACUUGGUCUUCUUCAAUUCUACAUAAUGAUCAAGUUGGACCUUACUUAGUAGGAAAUUUACAGAGAGGAAAUUAGGAAAUUCGAUACUGACCUUAUUUAGUAUAUUGAUCAAGUUGGACUUCUUCAAUUGUACAUAGGCACCAUUUGGAUCGACUUGUUUUAAGCUUAUGUGAGCUUAUCUACCGAUAUAAGUCGUUAUAUUAACAAAAGUGCUUAUCACAAUUUCACAAGCUACUUAUGCCAUAUUUUAAUAUGCUCUCAGAAUAUGCUUAACAUGGAGCUUAUGAAAAAGGAUCCCGCUUUGAAUCCCGCAUGCUCCAUUUGGCACAAUAUUAACAUAUUUUUUAGAAUUUAUUUUUUGAAUCAAUCUUAAAGGUAUCUUUUUUACGGUUUUUUCUUUUUUUUUUUUACGCUUAUCUUUNNNNNNNNNNNNNNNNNNNNNNNNNNNNNNNNNNNNNNNNNNNNNNNNNNNNNNNNAAACACUUCAAUUUAUGUAAGUACUUUUUAACGAACAUAUCCAAACGUAAAUAGCUUAUUAAGCAUAAGAGCUUAUGAUGUAAGCUCUCGUAUUAGUUACUAAUUAACACAUCUACUUCAUUUAGACUCAUUAAAUAUUGUACAUGGUUAUGUUAAGUCCUCUAAUUUUUGUGCUAGGAUUUCUGAUUAUGGAGGGUCAGUAGAAAAGAGAGGGUUAGUUGGUUACAUGGAUACUGAAUUUUGGAAUGAAGGAAGGGGUNNNNNNNNNNNNNNNNNNNNNNNNNNNNNNNNNNNNNNNNNNNNNNNNNUUGGUGGGUGAUUUUGUUGGAACUUUUAUGUCAAGAGGAUAUGAGGUAGGACUGUUUGUGUAGUGAGAUUUAGUGAAGUUUUCAAUCCUAGGUUGAUGAUUCCUUUUGAUAGGUACCUGUGUGUCAGUAAUAUCGGUUUCGUGUUUGUUGUCCUGGUUCGUGUUUGUGCCGGUACUUCAUAGUGACACAUUACCUAUACAAUGAAUCUCCAUUUAUAAAAAGGCAAGGAAAAUAAAAACUUACUAUAUGAAGCAUUGUCUAACGGAGCAUUUUAGCAUACCUUACUUGAUGAGAUAAACACUUUUAUUAUGUUCAAAUACACUUAUAAAAAGCAUGUAUCUAUAAGUUUUCAAACUUAUUUCAAUAAGCUCAUCAAAAUAGCUUAUAAUUUUGGUUCAAAUUGAUUUCACUCUACCCUCUCGUUUGCACCAUCACACUAUGCUCAAUCAAUCCUCCUUAACAAACAAGACUCAAGUCAGUGUUUGUAAACAAACAAGUAACUUGUUAUAUCCAGUCGUCACUACUAAUAUUUUAAAAUGUUCUUCACACUACCAAAGUAUAAAGCAUGAACAAUAAGAAAACAAAACAAAACAAAAAAAAAAACACAUCAAUUUUGAAGUCCAAAUGCAAAAUCCCAUCACUCAUUACCAUAAGUCCAAAAGGUUAGUCCUGAUGUAGAAAAUAGCAACCUGUGUAUUUUUAUUCUCUCGUCGCUUUUAGCAAUCAAGUAAAAUGUUUUAGGACACACUUUGCUUUGAACGUGCCAAACUUCAAUUUGAAAGAAUUCCUCCACAGUGCAUAUAUCCAUCCAGUUUUCAAAGGUGNNNNNNNNNNNNNNNNNNNNNNNNNNNNNNNNNNNNNNNNNNNNNNNNNNNNNNNNNNNNNNNNNNNNNNNNNNNNNNNNNNNNNNNNNNNNNNNNNNNNNNNNNNNNNNNNNNNNNNNNNNNNNNNNNNNNNNNNNNNNUUUUGAAACAGUAAAUUUUAUUAGAAAGCCUCAACCAAAGCAUGAAAUAUGCCAAGCGAGGGAACAUGAUACAUAAGGGACAAAAUAAAAACAAGGAGCUAGAAACAAGCCUCCUGAAACACCAAAAAACACCAAAACUAAAGGGUACACCAAAACAAGCCUCUGCACACCAAAAGAAACCACAGCACACCACCUAAACGAGAUCCAUAGCUAGAGCACACUCCAUAGUCUUCAGGCCACCAAAGACAACAUCAACACAACCUACGAAGAUGCUACUAGACUCUAACUUCUGAUCUCGAAUCAAAAGUGAUCGGCCCAUCGGAGUCCAAGAAGCAGCUCCGCGAGCCAAAAUUGAUUGGUCAAAUGCAGCAUGAAGACCUUAAAGUUGAGUUGAAGUAAAAGACCAAGUUGGUGUUGGAGUUUAAUGAGAAGUACAUGGUUAAUGCAGCAUAGUUCUGUAAUAGAUAGAAGGUUUCUACAGGUAGCACAGUUGGUUUGGUUCACAAGUCACUCUUGUAAACAUUGCACAAUGAUUUCCUGGUUUCCUUUUGUAUAUAAAAAAUAUGCAAAGUAAGAAAAUUUUGGGAUGAAACUGAUAGGAGCAGUAUUCAGGUCAAAUUUUAACAAGUUUUUUUAUCUGUUCUUUUUGUGUUUCAAAUUUAGUAGUGUCUUGUCUUAUUUUUAAUAAUUGACAGUGAAAUCACUCAUUUAGGAGGGUGGGAGAGAGGGAGGGAUCGAGGUUUCUAUUUUCUAUGAUAUACGUGCACAUCCCAACUACGAGGAAAAAGAUCCUUUACGAUUGAACCACAUUAGAAUCACAUCCUUGAGUAAUCAAUUGCUCAACAACUUUAGAAUCACAUUCAUGUACUACCAUCAUCCAUUUCACGCACCAACACCUAUCCUAUCCAUUACAGAAUUUAAAAACAUCAAAUUGAUACAUAUAACUACUAAUUUAGAAAGUCAGAGCACAUUUUAGAAAGUAUAUGCAAUCAAAUCAUGAAAAUAACAUGAAAGCAAAUGAUCACUAAUUUUCUUAUUUGUAUAGCAACUUGAAAUAAAAAAAAACAUACUAAUUUUUAAAUAAAUAAUACAACAUUACACAAACAGAAAAGUUGAAAUUACAAACAAACGUAUCUAUAUUUUUUAAAAGACCAACAUCAAAUUAAUUCAUUGUUCUGUGAUUUGCACCGGAUCGGUUGUUUCUUCUCUUCAGUCUCAUAUUAAACAUAUGUUCAACAAGUCUUGCAAGCCAUUCUGGUUUCCCAAAGAAGAAGACAUUGUGUCCCAACAGCAAUCCAGAUAUUGCCCCACACGCAUAUCCUAUUGCUACUGCUUUCCAACCAAAUCCUGAUCCCUCUUCAUCUUCAGAUGUUGAAAGUGGUGACCGAUCUUCAUCAUUUUUGCAUGAUUUAGACAAUGGUAAUCCACAUAACAUUGUAUUUCCUUCAUAGGAUUCAUUUCCAAAUGUAUCAAACUGUUGACCUUUAGGUACGAUUCCCUCGAGAUGGUUUUGUGAAAGGUUCAAGAAUGAGAGAAAAUUCAGCUUUGUGAGAGCCAUAGGAAUCUCCCCCCUCAACUGGUUCCUUGAGAGGUCCAACCACUCCAAAUUUCUCAAAUAACUCAAUGAUUGUGGAAUGGUACCUGUGAUUCCAUUGUUUGAAAGGUUAAGGCCUUUGAGAAAUUUUAAAUCUCCAAUGAGUUGUGGAAUUUCUCCUUCAAACAUGUUAUUUGAUAAAUCAAUAGUUGUGAAAGUAAUCAAUAUCCUCGAUAGUUCCAUAGACAGACCUUUCAUUAUGACCACCACAGAAUCUUUAUAGUAACUGACACUACCCAUGUAUUGCAAACCAAUUUGACUAUCAUUCACAUUCAUCAUGAAUUUAAAGUUCUUAAUACAUGAUGUUGGGAAUGAGCCACUAAAAUUGUUGAUAGAGACAUCAAAAAUUCUCAACUUGAGAAAUGGAUGUUUGGUGGAGCAUGUGAUUGUACCAUAAAGUUUAUUUGAUCUUAAACUCAGUACUUGUAAAUCUGGUAGAAUUCCUAGCCAAUUGGGGAAUACAUCUUCUAUUAUGUUGUUACCAAGGUCCAAAACUUCAAGUUUUUUGCAAUGAGCCAAAGAGUGUGGUAAUGGUCCUUCCAAUUGAUUUCCAUUCAAUUUUAUAGUCUCGAAUCGAUUUUGUUUGGAAAAGUUUGUAGGGAUGCUUCCAUAGAGGUUAUUCAUUUGCAAAUCUAAUACAGAAAGAAUAGGAAGUGUUCCCAGACAUUGUGGGAUCAUGCCUGUUAAUUUGUUGUGUGCCAAAUUGAGCACCUCCAGAGAUGAUGCAUUGCAGAAUGAUGAAGAAAUAUCUCCUGUGAAGUUGUUAUUUGAGAGUAAAAAGUAGUAAAUGAGAUAGGGUGGAACUGGAAGAUCUCCUUGCAACUUGUUGAAACUAAGAUCAAUGUAAUAAAUGUAUUCCGAUGAGUUUAGGAGCUUAUGAAACCAUUUGGGAAUUUUCCCAUGAAUGUUAUUAUUGGAGAGAUCUAAUGAUUGGAGAUUAGGUAGUCGUGCCAAUAAUUUAGGAAAACUAUUGAUAUUACUAAAAGAUAAAUCUAACUGUUCAAGGUAAGGGGAUGAGAUGGAUUCAACUUUGCUAUCAAUGUUGAUAGAAAGAAGACUAUUGUGUGAAAGAUUGAGGAAAUUUAGUUUUUUAAAUUUUGAAAAUUGGUGAAAAUCCACAACACCACUCACAUUUGUUGAUGAAAAAGCUAAGUCGGUAAGAUUUUGGAAGUCAAAUAUUGAAUUUGGAAAAUGACCAUGUAGGUUGUUAUUAGAGAGAUAUAAAUAUUGCAGAGAAUAAGUUGUGAACUCACCAAUGAACCCUAUAAGGUGGUUGUUGUCGAGGUACAACUCUAACAACGAAGGCAAAUUAUAACACCAAUGCGGAAUUGUUCCGUUUAACAUGUUAAAACCUAAAUCCAAAUAGCUCAAUUUUGAAAGUUUUGUGAUUUCAUUUGGAAUUGGACCAACUAGAUUAUUAAAUGAUAAACCUAAAUGAGAAAGCUGAGAUAGAUGAAAAAAUGAUGAUGGAACUUGGCCUGUUAGGUUGUUAGUGGAAAGUUCUAAAUAUUCCAGUUUCAUUAAAUUUCCAUAAACAUUUGGGAUUUCUCCGUUAAGUUUAUUUCCAAAUAAAUCUAAAAAAGAAAGAUGAGGUAACUGAUAAAACAAUGAUGGCGGGAUCUCACCAUUAAGGUCAUUUCGUGAAAGGUCCAAAUGUGUUAGUUGGGUGAGGUUCCACAAAGAUAGAGGAAUCGUCCCAUCGAAAUUGCAUUCUUGAAGGAAUAAAUGAGUUAGAGACUUCAAUUGACCUAUGGAAUAAAGAAUU
Molecule: long non-coding RNA, 7471 nt
Filed under: Trifolium pratense (red clover)
Lineage: Eukaryota; Viridiplantae; Streptophyta; Magnoliopsida; Fabales; Fabaceae
Description: long non-coding RNA (TPRA_LNC013010)
Source: RNAcentral